ACCAGGGUGAGUGUGAGGCUGGUGGGGGUCUAGUCUGGGUGUUGGGCUGUCUGGACAGGAUCAUGUGCAGACCCUUAUUUUCUUCACCCUAGGGAGGAGUGGAGCUGCUCACUCUGCCAUGUGCUCCCUGACCUGAAGGAGGAGGAUGGCAGCCUCAGCCUGGAUGGUGCAGACAGCACUGGCGUGGUGGCCAAGCUCUCACCAGCCAACCAGCGGAAAUGUGAGCGUGUACUGCUGGCCCUAUUCUGCCAUGAACCCUGCCGCCCCCUGCAUCAGCUGGCUACCGACUCCACCUUCUCCCUGGACCAGCCCGGUGGUACCCUGGAUCUGACCCUGAUCCGUGCUCGCCUCCAGGAGAAGUUGUCACCUCCCUACAGCUCCCCACAGGAGUUUGCCCAGGAUGUGGGCCGCAUGUUCAAGCAAUUCAACAAGUUAACUGAGGACAAGGCAGACGUGCAGUCCAUCAUCGGCCUGCAGCGCUUCUUCGAGACGCGCAUGAACGAGGCCUUCGGUGACACCAAGUUCUCUGCUGUGCUGGUGGAGCCCCCGCCGAUGAGCCUGCCUGGUGCUGGCCUGAGUUCCCAGGAGCUGUCUGGUGGCCCUGGUGAUGGCCCCUGAGGCUGGAGCCCCCAUGGCCAGCCCAGCCUGGCUGUUCUCUGUCCUGUCACCCCAUCCCCACUCCCCUGGUGGCCUGACACCCACUCCCUGGUGG
RNAcentral lists this small RNA (712 nucleotides) under Pongo abelii (Sumatran orangutan). RNAcentral's name for it is "retained intron". The record is from RNAcentral. Lineage: Eukaryota; Metazoa; Chordata; Mammalia; Primates; Hominidae.